GUCCGGGAACUUCCAGAGAUGAUUGGUGCCUUCGGGAACCGUGAGACAGGUGCUGCAUGGCUGUCGUCAGCUCGUGUUGUGAAAUGUUGGGUUAAGUCCCGCAACGAGCGCAACCCUUAUCCUUUGUUGCCAGCGGUCCGGCCGGGAACUCAAAGGAGACUGCCAGUGAUAAACUGGAGGAAGGUGGGGAUGACGUCAAGUCAUCAUGGCCCUUACGACCAGGGCUACACACGUGCUACAAUGGCGCAUACAAAGAGAAGCGACCUCGCGAGAGCAAGCGGACCUCAUAAAGUGCGUCGUAGUCCGGAUUGGAGUCUGCAACUCGACUCCAUGAAGUCGGAAUCGCUAGUAAUCGUGGAUCAGAAUGCCACGGUGAAUACGUUCCCGGGUCUUGUACACACCGA
Molecule: ribosomal RNA, 404 nt
Filed under: Enterobacter cloacae
Lineage: Bacteria; Pseudomonadati; Pseudomonadota; Gammaproteobacteria; Enterobacterales; Enterobacteriaceae
Description: bacterial SSU rRNA
Rfam family: Bacterial small subunit ribosomal RNA
Source: RNAcentral